Molecule: ribosomal RNA, 497 nt
Filed under: uncultured bacterium
Lineage: Bacteria
Description: partial 16S ribosomal RNA
Rfam family: Bacterial small subunit ribosomal RNA
Source: RNAcentral
GACGAACGCUGGCGGCGUGCCUAAUACAUGCAAGUUGAGCGCUGAAGGUUGGUACUUGUACCAACUGGAUGAGCAGCGAACGGGUGAGUAACGCGUGGGGAAUCUGCCUUUGAGCGGGGGACAACAUUUGGAAACGAAUGCUAAUACCGCAUAAAAACUUUAAACACAAGUUUUAAGUUUGAAAGAUGCAAUUGCAUCACUCAAAGAUGAUCCCGCGUUGUAUUAGCUAGUUGGUGAGGUAAAGGCUCACCAAGGCGAUGAUACAUAGCCGACCUGAUAGGGUGAUCGGCCACAUUGGGACUGAGACACGGCCCAAACGCCUACGGGAGGCAGCAGUAGGGAAUCUUCGGCAAUGGACGAAAGUCUGACCGAGCAACGCCGCGUGAGUGAAGAAGGUUUUCGGAUCGUAAAACUCUGUUGGUAGAGAAGAACGUUGGUGAGAGUGGAAAGCUCAUCAAGUGACGGUAACUACCCAGAAAGGGACGGCUAACUACGUG